This 66-nucleotide transfer RNA is filed under the name Amblyomma fimbriatum (goanna tick). RNAcentral's name for it is "tRNA-Leu". The record is from RNAcentral. Lineage: Eukaryota; Metazoa; Arthropoda; Arachnida; Ixodida; Ixodidae.
AUUAAAGUGGCAGAAAAAAUGCAAGGAAUUUAAGCUUCCUUUAUGAAAACUUUCUUUCCUUUAAUA